This 61-nucleotide transfer RNA is filed under the name Coleolaelaps cf. liui XFX-2019. RNAcentral describes it as "tRNA-Glu". The record is from RNAcentral. Lineage: Eukaryota; Metazoa; Arthropoda; Arachnida; Mesostigmata; Laelapidae.
AUUUUUAUAGUAAAAAUUAUUACAUAGUAUUUUCAUUACUAAAUUGUCUUAACUAAAAAUU